GACGAACGCUGGCGGCGUACUUAACACAUGCAAGUCGAGCGGUAAGGCCCUUUCGGGGGUACACGAGCGGCGAACGGGUGAGUAACACGUGGGUGACCUGCCUUUAGCUCUGGGAUAAGCCUGGGAAACCUGGGUCUAAUACCGGAUAUGACCCUAUGGCGCAUGUUGUGGGGUGGAAAGCCUUGUGCGGCUAGGGAUGGGCCCGCGGCCUAUCAGCUUGUUGGUGGGGUGAUGGCCUACCAAGGCGACGACGGGUAGCCGGCCUGAGAGGGCGACCGGCCACACUGGGACUGAGACACGGCCCAGACUCCUACGGGAGGCAGCAGUGGGGAAUCUUGCGUCAAUGGGCGAAAGCCUGACGCACGCGACGCCGCGUGAGGGAUGACGGCC
Molecule: ribosomal RNA, 390 nt
Filed under: uncultured bacterium
Lineage: Bacteria
Description: bacterial SSU rRNA
Rfam family: Bacterial small subunit ribosomal RNA
Source: RNAcentral